This 253-nucleotide ribosomal RNA is filed under the name uncultured bacterium. RNAcentral describes it as "partial 16S ribosomal RNA". It matches the Rfam family "Bacterial small subunit ribosomal RNA", at positions 524 to 776 of the family's 1533-position model. The record is from RNAcentral.
UACGGGGGGGGCAAGCGUUGUUCGGAAUUACUGGGCGUAAAGGGCUCGUAGGCGGCCAACUAAGUCAGACGUGAAAUCCCUCGGCUUAACCGGGGAACUGCGUCUGAUACUGGAUGGCUUGAGGUUGGGAGAGGGAUGCGGAAUUCCAGGUGUAGCGGUGAAAUGCGUAGAUAUCGUAAGGAAGACCAGUGGCGAAGGCGGGUCUCUGGACAGUUCCUGACGCUGAGGCACGAAGGCCAGGGGAGCAAACGGG